ACGGAAGGCAGCAGUGGGGAAUAUUGCACAAUGGGGGAAACCCUGAUGCAGCGACGCCGCGUGAGCGAAGAAGUAUUUCGGUAUGUAAAGCUCUAUCAGCAGGGAAGAAAAUGACGGUACCUGACUAAGAAGCUCCGGCUAAAUACGUGCCAGCAGCCGCGGUAAUACGUAUGGAGCAAGCGUUAUCCGGAUUUACUGGGUGUAAAGGGAGCGUAGACGGAACAGCAAGUCUGAUGUGAAAGGCGGGGGCUCAACUCCUGGACUGCAUUGGAAACUGCUGAUCUUGAGUGUCGGAGAGGUAAGCGGAAUUCCUAGUGUAGCGGUGAAAUGCGUAGAUAUUAGGAGGAACACCAGUGGCGAAGGCGGCUUACUGGACGAUCACUGACGUUGAGGCUCGAAAGCGUGGGGAGCAAACAGGAUUAGAUACCCUGGUA
RNAcentral lists this ribosomal RNA (434 nucleotides) under uncultured bacterium. RNAcentral's name for it is "partial 16S ribosomal RNA". It matches the Rfam family "Bacterial small subunit ribosomal RNA", at positions 341 to 792 of the family's 1533-position model. The record is from RNAcentral. RNAcentral also lists the same sequence under 1 other name.